RNAcentral lists this ribosomal RNA (468 nucleotides) under uncultured bacterium. RNAcentral describes it as "bacterial SSU rRNA". It matches the Rfam family "Bacterial small subunit ribosomal RNA", at positions 335 to 795 of the family's 1533-position model. The record is from RNAcentral.
ACUCCUACGGGAGGCAGCAGUGGGGAAUUUUGGACAAUGGGGGCAACCCUGAUCCAGCCAUGCCGCGUGAGUGAAGAAGGCCUUCGGGUUGUAAAGCUCUUUCGGCCGGGAAGAAAUCGUGGUCUCUAACAUAGGCCAUGGAUGACGGUACCGGACUAAGAAGCACCGGCUAACUACGUGCCAGCAGCCGCGGUAAUACGUAGGGUGCGAGCGUUAAUCGGAAUUACUGGGCGUAAAGCGUGCGCAGGCGGUUUUGUAAGACAGAUGUGAAAUCCCCGGGCUCAACCUGGGAACUGCGUUUGUGACUGCACGGCUAGAGUAUGGCAGAGGGGGGUGGAAUUCCACGUGUAGCAGUGAAAUGCGUAGAGAUGUGGAGGAACACCGAUGGCGAAGGCAGCCCCCUGGGCCUGUACUGACGCUCAUGCACGAAAGCGUGGGGAGCAAACAGGAUUAGAUACCCUGGUAGUC